Dreissena polymorpha is the source of this 1771-nucleotide long non-coding RNA. RefSeq lists it as uncharacterized. NCBI's taxonomy places the organism in Eukaryota, Metazoa, Mollusca, Bivalvia, Myida, Dreissenidae. The transcript has 2 exons. The record is from RefSeq and is a predicted model, not a curated record.
CUCCUCACAUUAAACGUUAUAGGAGGAGUUUACAUUUGGUUGCCAGCUGUAAAGUUAAACGAAGAAAGGAUACAAAAACAGAAACUUGCUACAUCCGAAAGUUCUAAUGAAGAACUGAAGAGUUAGAGAUAGUAUAUUUUCGAUAUCAGCGCCAGAGGCAAGUGAAGCUCAUCAUAGCUUAGGGCACUCAACAACCAGUUACCAUGGCCAAAAGAAUGCCAAACAUAAAUAGGAAUUUCGUGUUAGGCAUGGGACUCUUUAUUUUUGGUUCCUACCAGCUUCGAAAACGCUGGUCCAGUACCUGGAUGGACAACAUGGAAAUUGAAGUGAGCAGUUACACCCAGAGGCAGAAGCUCAAGGAUAAAAAUACAGAAGAACUGGCAGAUUAACUUCUCAUCUUUCCUCUCCUGUGUGUGUUAAUGAAUUAUUGAUAAAAUUUAGUGUCUAGCAUACUGAGGUAUGCUUGUUUAUGUAAUGGAAUGAGGAAACUAAACAAAAAAGAAAAAUACUUAUUAGGACUAACAUUCAUCAUAUAAAUGAUACAUUUUUGUCCCCUACCGGUUUCACCGGAGGGGACUUAUGGUUUGCGCUCUGUCUGUCAGGCUGUCCGUCACAUUUUUCUGGAUCAUGCAAUAACUUAAAAAGUUCUUCAUAUUUUUUCAUGAAACUUGAAACAUGGAUUGAUGGCAAUAUGGACAUUUUGCACGUCAUUUCAUUUUGUUCCUACAUCAAAAAUUCUGGUUGCUAUGGCAACAAAUAUAAUUAAUAAAAAAAGUAAUAUGACAAUGAUGGAAUUUCUGACAAUGGUGGAGCCGAUAGGGGACUUUUAUUGCUUGGCAAUAAUCUUGUUGAAACUGUUUUAUGCAUUUUAAAAUUGUGUUUUUCAGAACAUGGUAUUUAUUUAACUAAGCUUAAUUACAUGUAAUUGUUACUUAACUUAAGAAUUAUGAUGUGACAUGUAUAUUGCCAUUUUUUUUGUAAAACUCCUGAUAUGAUGUAAAAGGUAUAAUGUAUAAUUAUGAAUCUCCAUGGAGGUCUGUUUGUCUCACUGUAGACACAAAGAAGUUCUCAUACAAUUUCCAACUUGCAAUAGUCAAAUUGGCUAGGACUCGUCCUUAUAACAUGUAGUUGUGCAUGUGCAAAAUUAUAUAUCUUCUAAACCUUCAUGUGUCAUAUUUGCUAUGUAACAUUGAAUAUUGACUUUCACAAAAUCAUGACCCUCGAGCCGAAAUGGGCCAUAUUGAGAGAGUCUAUUAUAAUUGUUUAUAUUGACUUAAAUAAUGUCCUUAGAGUUUAAAUCUGGUCACUCCUUCUUUAAGUCCAAUAUUUGACUGUUAAAACUGUUUACGUUUUAUUACAUGCAGCAUCGGGCGUAUUUAUCAAUACUGUGACAAGGUCUAGUUACUUUAGCAUAUACUGUAAAUGCAUACUUACGGUGUUUUAUCCCUUUCCCAAUCUGAAGCAAAGUGAAAACGGCUAUGAGCAAACAGCGUAAAACAAGGAAAAGCCUGCAAGUAACUCGCAGCCUGUUCAGGUUUUAUGCUGUUUGCUGCUCAUCAGUAUCUAAGGGUUGGAAAUGAAGCCUUUUAAACUUGAAUUUAAUAAGAAAGUUAUUUAAUUAAAUUGAACUUCCUAUGGGACUAAAAAUGCAUCAAAAUAUGUAUCUUAGUGGUAUAGGGUUUCCAUGUCAUUGAUCAUGUACAUGAUUGUUUGUGUUUAUGAUUUAGAAUGCAUGUUUAAGUUUACAAAUAAAUGUUUGUUAUGAAAUAAA